GACGAACGCUGGCGGCGUGCUUAACACAUGCAAGUCGAACGGAAAGGCCCUGCUUUUGUGGGGUGCUCGAGUGGCGAACGGGUGAGUAACACGUGAGUAACCUGCCCUUGACUUUGGGAUAACUUCAGUAAACUGGGGCGAAUACCGGAUAGGAGCUCCUGCUGCAUGGUGGGGGUUGGUAAGUGUCGGCGUUGGGGGAUGGACUCGUGGCUUAUCAUCGUGUUGGUGGGGUGGUGGAUUACCACGUCUUUGACGGGUAGCCGGCCUGCGGGGGUGACCGGCCCCAAUGGGCCUGAGGUACGGCCCAGAGUCAUACGGGAGGCAGCAGUGGAGAAUAGAGCAAAAUGGGCGGAAGCAUGAUGCAGCAACGUCGCGUGGGGGAUCACGGCCUUCAGGUUGUAACCCGCUUUCGACUGUGACGAAGCGUGAGUGACGGUAAUGGGUCAAGAAGCACCGGCUAACUACGUG
This 468-nucleotide ribosomal RNA is filed under the name uncultured bacterium. RNAcentral describes it as "partial 16S ribosomal RNA". It matches the Rfam family "Bacterial small subunit ribosomal RNA", at positions 28 to 507 of the family's 1533-position model. The record is from RNAcentral.